GGGGACAUGGUCUAGUGGUAUGACGGAUCCUUAGCAUCGUUGAGUUCUCUGAACACACAUCAAGCUUGGAUCAGGUCCGGGGUUCGAUUCCCCGUGUCUCCA
This 102-nucleotide transfer RNA is filed under the name Ceratocystis platani. It matches the Rfam family "tRNA". Rfam says of the family: Transfer RNA (tRNA) molecules are approximately 80 nucleotides in length. Their secondary structure includes four short double-helical elements and three loops (D, anti-codon, and T loops). The record is from Rfam by way of RNAcentral. Lineage: Eukaryota; Fungi; Ascomycota; Sordariomycetes; Microascales; Ceratocystidaceae.